This 95-nucleotide microRNA precursor is filed under the name Canis lupus familiaris (dog). RNAcentral's name for it is "mir-8834 microRNA precursor family". It matches the Rfam family "mir-8834 microRNA precursor family". Lineage: Eukaryota; Metazoa; Chordata; Mammalia; Carnivora; Canidae. RNAcentral also lists the same sequence under 1 other name. The record is from Rfam by way of RNAcentral.
AGGAGGAACAGCCCCAGUGGCGGGGCCAGCUCUGGAAACCUGGAUUCAGCUCCGGCAGGAACUCCGUAUGCAGGGCCUGGAGGCUCUGGGGCGGG